RNAcentral lists this transfer RNA (87 nucleotides) under Gammaproteobacteria bacterium. RNAcentral describes it as "tRNA-Leu". It matches the Rfam family "tRNA". Rfam says of the family: Transfer RNA (tRNA) molecules are approximately 80 nucleotides in length. Their secondary structure includes four short double-helical elements and three loops (D, anti-codon, and T loops). Further hydrogen bonds mediate the characteristic L-shaped molecular structure. tRNAs have two regions of fundamental functional importance: the anti-codon, which is responsible for specific mRNA codon recognition, and the 3' end, to which the tRNAs corresponding amino acid is attached (by aminoacyl-tRNA synthetases). tRNAs cope with the degeneracy of the genetic code in two manners: having more than one tRNA (with a specific anti-codon) for a particular amino acid; and 'wobble' base-pairing, i.e. permitting non-standard base-pairing at the 3rd anti-codon position. Lineage: Bacteria; Pseudomonadati; Pseudomonadota; Gammaproteobacteria. The record is from RNAcentral.
GCCCGGGUGGCGAAACUGGUAGACGCAAGAGACUUAAAAUCUCUCGGAGCUUGCUCCGUGCCGGUUCGAUUCCGGCUCCGGGCACCA